AGGGAUCAUUACCGAGCGUCCCGGCCCCCUAGGGCUGCGGCCUCACCAUCCUUUGCUUAAACUCUCCUUGCGGGGCCCCUCCAGAGGGCCCUUGGACUCGGCCGCCGGGGCAGACCCCCUCCGGGAAAUAGGGGGCGCCCCGCCCUCCGCUCCGGCAGCCGGGCCCGAACCCAAACCUUGAAACGUGUCUUUUUCGGCCCAGCCGAACCAAACACAACCUGCAACGAUGGAUCUCUUGGCUCUG
Molecule: unclassified non-coding RNA, 244 nt
Filed under: uncultured fungus
Lineage: Eukaryota; Fungi
Description: partial contains 18S rRNA, ITS1, 5.8S rRNA, ITS2 and 28S rRNA
Source: RNAcentral